This is a long non-coding RNA of Anolis carolinensis (green anole), 380 nucleotides long. RefSeq lists it as uncharacterized. The transcript is spliced from 2 exons. The record is from RefSeq and is a predicted model, not a curated record. NCBI's taxonomy places the organism in Eukaryota, Metazoa, Chordata, Lepidosauria, Squamata, Anolidae.
GCCUAUUACAUAUGGAAAAAAGCAAUGCUCUGUGAUUGAACAGACACAGCCUGUUCUUCUAGUAGGGAAGAGAGUUCAUUUGUGGAAGAUGGACAGAUCAAGGAAUCUUUCUGCGAUCAAUUAAGAAUUUCUUACUCUGAUGCCAACUGGAUGUAUACAAGUUAUCAUUAGUGUUCCGGUGAUCAAUCACAUUUCUACAGGAAGUAUGCAGGAGAAGUACAUGGACAUCCUUCCUGGGACAACUAUGUACCUAUCAGCCAGGGGGUAGGAUGUCCGGUAUCAAGGAUACCUUCAGCAGCUGUACAGAAGAUAACUUUUGGCAGAUUUCAUCGGUCAUGUCAGAAUACAGCUUCUCUUUAUGUCCCCUCUUAUAUGACAGG